GAAGUGCGAUAAGCAAUGCGAAUUGCAGAAUUCCGCGAAUCAUCAGAUCUUUGAACGCAAAUGGCGCCGGAGGGAUAUCCUUUCGGCAUGUCUGUUUCAGUGUCUGAGAGGUUUCAAACAUAUCUUAAUGUGAUUGACGAGUUGGUUAUGGAGAGUGCUUCGGUGCUACCCAUACUACCAAUACUCAUCUCUCAUGAAAGAUGCGUGAGUGGAUCUUUCGGUCCAAUGAAGUGGUCACAUCACUCGCAUGUGAUUUCAUUGGGAAAUCACCGAAUUAUCCGUAUACUCACGGUACCAAAACUAAAAAACUUCCAUACCCUGCAUCUGAGAUAGGCAAGAUCACCCGCUGAACUUAA
This 356-nucleotide unclassified non-coding RNA is filed under the name uncultured fungus. RNAcentral describes it as "sequence contains ITS1". The stretch from base 1 to 105 matches the Rfam family "5.8S ribosomal RNA", at positions 50 to 154 of the family's 154-position model. Lineage: Eukaryota; Fungi. The record is from RNAcentral.